This 254-nucleotide ribosomal RNA is filed under the name uncultured bacterium. RNAcentral's name for it is "partial 16S ribosomal RNA". It matches the Rfam family "Bacterial small subunit ribosomal RNA", at positions 524 to 776 of the family's 1533-position model. The record is from RNAcentral.
CACGUAGGGGGCAAGCGUUGUCCGGAUUUAUUGGGCGUAAAGAGCUCGUAGGUGGCUUAGUAAGUCGGGUGUGAAACCUCCAGGCUCAACCUGGAGACGCCACCCGAUGCUGCUAUAGCUUGAGUCCGGUAGGGGAGCGUGGAAUUCCUGGUGUAGCGGUGAAAUGCGCAGAUAUCAGGAGGAACACCCGUGGCGAAGGCGGUUCUCUGGGACGGUACUGACGCUGAGACGCGAAAGCGUGGGGAGCGAACAGG